GGAGGAUCCAAGCGUUAUCCGGAAUCAUUGGGUUUAAAGGGUCCGUAGGCGGUUUAGUAAGUCAGUGGUGAAAGCCCAUCGCUCAACGGUGGAACGGCCAUUGAUACUGCUGAACUUGAAUUACUGGGAAGUAACUAGAAUAUGUAGUGUAGCGGUGAAAUGCUUAGAUAUUACAUGGAAUACCAAUUGCGAAGGCAGGUUACUACCAGUUUAUUGACGCUGAUGGACGAAAGCGUGGGGAGCGAACAGGAUUAGAUACCCUGGUAGUCCACGCCGUAAACGAUGGAUACUAGCUGUUGGGCGCAAGUUCAGUGGCUAAGCGAAAGUGAUAAGUAUCCCACCUGGGGAGUACGAACGCAAGUUUG
This 365-nucleotide ribosomal RNA is filed under the name uncultured bacterium. RNAcentral's name for it is "bacterial SSU rRNA". It matches the Rfam family "Bacterial small subunit ribosomal RNA", at positions 527 to 896 of the family's 1533-position model. The record is from RNAcentral.